GAUGAACGCUGGCGGCGUGCCUAAUACAUGCAAGUCGAGCGAACAGAUGAGGAGCUUGCUCCUCUGACGUUAGCGGCGGACGGGUGAGUAACACGUGGAUAACCUACCUAUAAGACUGGGAUAACUUCGGGAAACCGGAGCUAAUACCGGAUAAUAUAUUGAACCGCAUGGUUCAAUAGUGAAAGACGGUUUUGCUGUCACUUAUAGAUGGAUCCGCGCCGCAUUAGCUAGUUGGUAAGGUAACGGCUUACCAAGGCAACGAUGCGUAGCCGACCGGAGGGGGUGAUCGACCACACUGGAACUGAGACACGGUCCAGACUCCUACGGGAGGCAGCAGUAGGGAAUCUUCCGCAAUGGGCGAAAGCCUGACGGAGCAACGCCGCGUGAGUGAUGAAGGUCUUCGGAUCGUAAAACUCUGUUAUUAGGGAAGAACAAAUGUGUAAGUAACUAUGCACGUCUUGACGGUACCGAAUCAGAAAGCCACGGCUAACUACGUG
RNAcentral lists this ribosomal RNA (497 nucleotides) under uncultured bacterium. RNAcentral describes it as "partial 16S ribosomal RNA". It matches the Rfam family "Bacterial small subunit ribosomal RNA", at positions 28 to 507 of the family's 1533-position model. The record is from RNAcentral.